GGACCCGCACAAGCGGUGGAUUAUGUGGAUUAAUUCGAUGCAACGCGAAAAACCUUACCUACCCUUGACAUGUAUCGAAGCCCGCAGAAAAGCGGGGGUGCCCGAAAGGGAACGAUAACACAGGUGCUGCAUGGCUGUCGUCAGCUCGUGUCGUGAGAUGUUGGGUUAAGUCCCGCAACGAGCGCAACCCUUGUCAUUAAUUGCCAUCAUUUAGUUGGGCACUUUAAUGAGACUGCCGGUGACAAACCGGAGGAAGGUGGGGAUGACGUCAAGUCCUCAUGGCCCUUAUGGGUAGGGCUUCACACGUAAUACAAUGGCGCGUACAGAGGGUUGCCAACCCGCGAGGGGGAGCUAAUCUCAGAAAGCGCGUCGUAGUCCGGAUCGGAGUCUGCAACUCGACUCCGUG
RNAcentral lists this ribosomal RNA (406 nucleotides) under uncultured bacterium. Its description in RNAcentral is "bacterial SSU rRNA". It matches the Rfam family "Bacterial small subunit ribosomal RNA", at positions 917 to 1322 of the family's 1533-position model. The record is from RNAcentral.